AAAGUACUCCCUCCGUCCAAAAAUUCUUGUCUUAGAUUUGUCUAGAUACAGAUGUAUCAAGUCACAUUUUAGUAUUAGAUACAUCCGUCUAGACAAAUCUAAGACAAGAAAUUUGGGACAGUGGGAGUAGUUG
Molecule: non-coding RNA, 133 nt
Organism: Triticum aestivum (bread wheat)
Lineage: Eukaryota; Viridiplantae; Streptophyta; Magnoliopsida; Poales; Poaceae
Source: Rfam